ACAUUGGCAUCACUUACGAGUACAAGGACGCGAGCACUGGAAGAGUCGGGAACUAUUUCGACCUCGUUCUUCCCGAUGGCUCCAUUGGAUUUAGCUACAGAAAAGCUUCCAUUCGUGGAGUGGUAUGGAACUCCAGGGGAUCCCAUUCUGCCUGCCAUCAAGACCGAGCUUGGCCGGAUUGGAGGAGCUAUUUGUUAAGAUUUCGAGUUUCCAGACAUGAUGCGCCAGGCCGGGAAAAAGAGGUAGAGCGAAGUUAUGAUGAUGUUCUUUAAGUUCUUGGUGGAUGUGCUAAGAUUAAUAUCGUGCUCCAACCAGCCGAGACUUGGGGACCAACUGGUCCCCGGGUGAAAGAGGCCGAUGCUUUCCACGUUGUGGAGAACGGCUUUAGCUGGUUUCGAUGCUCCACGGGAGGCGUUUCAGCGGUUGUAGAUCCAUAUCUGCAGACAUUCGAUUACAGGGAAGGUAUCUCCGUCUCAGUCUUCGCCAUGGCACUCCCAGUACUCGGGAAGGCCUGGACGCUUUACCCAAGCUACGGCUUUCUUUUCGCUUGGCUAGUGGCAGCACUUGCUGCGGUACACGUCUCCAUGCUCUGCCUCCCUCUUGGAGCAGUGACGUACAUCCUUGACAAGUCCCCGCCCGCCUUUGUGUUCUACAUCACUGGUGACCGAUCCUUCAAGGAGUUUGAGAGGUCGGAGCUACAUUGCGUGCUGUUGUCAGAGGAAUCAAACGUGCUUGUCUAAGGUUCUGGUGAAGCCCAAUCUGUAAGGAAGUGUAUACAAAACAUGGGUGAUAUGGACGUAGCACUUGCAUUGA
Long non-coding RNA from Selaginella moellendorffii, 813 nucleotides. RefSeq lists it as uncharacterized. The record is from RefSeq and is a predicted model, not a curated record. Lineage: Eukaryota; Viridiplantae; Streptophyta; Lycopodiopsida; Selaginellales; Selaginellaceae. The transcript is spliced from 2 exons.